AUUAAUUUUUAACCUAGAAGAUAACCUAAAAGCAAGCCGUCGCACCCAGCAAGCCAUCGCACUAAGUUCAUCACUGCCCAUCGCCAAGGCCGUUGCACCACACAGCUCGUCGUCAUGUUCAUCUAACCCUCACACCCAGCCCUCUCUCUGUCGCACCGAACCCCGCACCAUCAACGAUCUCUCGCACGUAGCGUGCCCUCCUACUCCCUCAGUGGUCUCUGUCUCGUAAACUCUCGUUGGAUUCGGAACCUCAAUCGUUUCUCACUCUAUUUCGCAAACCCUCAAUCGCCGAUCCUCCCUCCGUGGUUCAGCACCCGUCGCGUUGCCGUCUCCCUCUCUGAAAUCGUCGCGUCGCCGUCUCCCUCUCCCUCACUCAUCGCACCUUCGUCAGCCAUGUUCAACGUUCGCAGUGCCGUGCUGUGGUAGUGCUCAGCUACUGAUAUGUGGUGCUCAUUCUUUGAGUUCGUUGUUUGCUGAAUCUCGUUUGGCAGAGAAUACCUCUAGAUUUUUUGCAAGGUGACAAAUUUAGAGCAGCAGCAGAUAAUUACAUUAGGCCUCUCCUAACUUAGGGAGUUCCAUCUCUUUUCUCUGAUCUUUCGUCUUUGUAUAAUCACCCUGGGAAGGCAGACAUUUUGGAAUAACUUAUUCUUGUAUUUUUUUCACAGCGCUCUUCAAGCUAAGGUAUAUUAAAGAUCAGAUAGCGAAGUAGGCAGCUUAAUUGCUUCAGUGAAUAUAGGUUUUAAAGGCUAGCUAGUAAUUAAUUACUACUGUAUAUAUAGAUAGAGAGUGGUCACUACUACAGCCUGUAUGUUCUUGUUUAAGUAUUUGUUAUUAGUUGUGUGUAUAUUUAAAUGUUUGCAUCCUUGUUUUGGUUUCAAGAGGUAAUUUGUAAAGGAGGAAUUCAAGAAAUUAUUGUAGUAUUUAUACUGAGCAUCGCAUCUGCUAAAAUAAAUAAAUAUGUCAAAGGGAUUUGAGAUUCAUCAAGAGAAUAAUGAAGGAAAUGGGGCAAGAGUAGUAAUGAUAAUGAGGGUGAGAAAAAUUCAUUUGACAUAAAUGAAGGAGCGGCUAUGAUGAUGAUGAGGAAUUGGAAGAAGAGAAUAAUAAUGAAGCAAAGGAGGAGGAGGAGGAUAACAAUGAAGAAGGGAAUUUAACAAACCCAAGUAGCAGCAGCACAGCAUCAAGAGAAGGGAAGAAAGGGAGUGGUGUGAGGCAAUAUGUGAGAUCAAAGAUGCCAAGGCUUUGUUGGACUCCUAAUCUUCAUCUCUCCUUUGUCCAUGUUGUUCAGAGGCUUGGAGGUCAAGAAAGUAAUUCCACUCUCAAACAUUUGUAAGAAUACACUUCAAUUUGACUUGGGAGGAGUUCAAUUUGAUAAAAUGGUCUGUUUCAAUCUUUUUUUAAGUGAUUCUUCUGUCUUGUGUCUAUCCUCUGAGUAUGCUACUAUUGUAGGUUCCUUAUCUAGGCAAAUUUCUGUGCAAAGCAGUUUUGCUGAAGCUGCACAACUUCUAAAGCCAGCCUCUGCUGAAAUGACAGUAAGUUUUGGACAUUCAUGGACCAGUUCUAGCUUUAGUUCUUGAGAAGUUGAAACCAUAUGGAGGCCUUCAAGGUAGGGUUUUGUAUCAUAGCUCAUUCUUAAUCCACUUUGUUUCUCAGGGUUAAUGAUUAACAUGAGUAUUCUUAUGUUUAUUUUCUUUCCCAUGCAAUAUUUGUGCUUAUAAUCAUUUGAGUCUGCUAAGGCAGUUUCAGUGGGUGCGUCAAAAGGUGUUCAAAGGCUGGGAAAUCAACUGCUAAUGGUGUUACAAAACACGAAAAUAAAGCUGCAUCUUCGUUCUCAUGCAUACAGGUUGCCCAACAGCUUCUCCACCUCUAAUAGCUAUACAAGAGUUGCCUGCAAACAUUCGUGUGCUACAAAUUAGUCUGGAUGUUAUUUAGGAAUUAGAUUAGAUUUUUUAUAACAUAGAAUUGUAAUUUUUUUAAAUGUUUAUUUUGAAAUUUGAAUUUAUUUUUUUUAAACGUUUUAUUCAUGUUUUAUCAUGUACAUAAUUCAUAUAAAUCAAUGGAAGAGUAAUUUUUUAGUAUUAUAUUUUAUU
Molecule: long non-coding RNA, 2087 nt
Organism: Arachis stenosperma
Lineage: Eukaryota; Viridiplantae; Streptophyta; Magnoliopsida; Fabales; Fabaceae
Exons: 5
Source: RefSeq, a predicted model, not a curated record